AAGCUGAGAGACCGUGAGGAGAGUGGCUGUGGACAUCCCCACGGAGGCCUGGGGCCUGUGCAUGGGACCACCCCAGACUACCCAGCUCUGACCAGCUGGCCCUGAUCAGAAGAACUGCCCAGAUAGCCCAUGGAGUCAUGAAACAGUAGAAAGGUGGUGGGCAUCACCCAGAAGCCUUCAAGCAUCCAGGAACGGUCACUUGUUUUGAGGACGUGGGUGUAGAGAAGCAGUACCAAAUUGGUAAUUCAAACAAUUUCUACCUUUUGGUUAUGACCUAUCCUGCUGGUUUCUUAAUUAAAGGACAGACAUCCUUGCAGUAGCUCUUUGACCUCACGGAGACUUCUCAUCAAUAAACAACUUUACCUUCUCUAUA
Zalophus californianus (California sea lion) is the source of this 373-nucleotide long non-coding RNA. RefSeq lists it as uncharacterized. The record is from RefSeq and is a predicted model, not a curated record. Lineage: Eukaryota; Metazoa; Chordata; Mammalia; Carnivora; Otariidae. The transcript has 2 exons.